Molecule: RNA transcript, 2944 nt
Organism: Triticum urartu
Lineage: Eukaryota; Viridiplantae; Streptophyta; Magnoliopsida; Poales; Poaceae
Source: RefSeq, a predicted model, not a curated record
AUCGUUGUUUAUUUCCUCUUUGCGCCUCUAAGUUUAUCUUAUUAUCUUUAUCUUUACCUUUACCUUUACCUACUAAUAAACCAGCUAUUGCUUCUGGUCGUCCGUCGUUAGUCUUUUUGCAAAAACGUCCCUCUGUUUCUAAGAAAUUAACCCACCGUCCUACUUAAAGUGAUGGAAAACGUUUCGUUUUUUUGCAAAAAAAAAACCCUGCCACCACCGGCCAGCUCCACCACUUAUCCAUUCUCGGAACGGGUCGAGGCGCCGCAGCUGGCAUCGGCGAAUCCAUUCCCGGCGGCGGCGGCUUCCGGCGAGGAGGCGAGCGAGCUCUGGAAGCUCCGGAGGGGGCUUGCCGCCGACGAGGCGAGGCCGAGGCGGCGGCGCGCGGGCGCGAGGAGGCGGGGUCGAGGAGGCGCAGGAGGACGCAGGUCGGUGGCGCUACGGCGGGGGCUUGGCGAGGGCUACAGCGGUCGAGAGGGAUUGGCGGUGGCCGGCGUGCUCGCACGGGCUCGGGCGCGGCAGCACGACGUCGGGCCGUUGCCGAUGGCGCCGGGGCUUGGGCCGGUGGUUUGAAGGGCGAUGAGGAGGAGGUGUUGUCCUGGAGACAGCAACGGCGGCUGCAGCUUGACGAUGCAGGCGUCAACAGCUUGCUUCAGGGGCUGCGGGCCGUGAGCGGCGCCGUGCUCGCGCACGAGACCCAUGCCUGAUUUGGAUCGGAUUGCAGGUCGUGUCCUUGUUGAACACAGUUCAAUGGAGUGCCCAACCCGGAUUGUUGUUUUCUGCUAUAAGAAGGAAGAAUAGUCGGCCAGAAUCUCCAUGGUUCAAUUUUUGAUUUGGACGAAACGUCCAAUGUAUUCGCCGAGUUCGCCGGAGGAAGAAACGUCGAGUUCGCUGGAGCUACAAGAACAGACGUCAAGCACUCCAAUGUCGCCAGCAGCGGCUACACCAGAGGUAUGUUUGACCCAUGUUUGAUUUAUUUUCCUGUCCCCUGUCGCGCUGGCGAGCCUGUGCGCGUCCCUGCUACUGGCGCUGCUCGCUGGCGAGCCCGUGCGCGGCGACUGUUGCUGCUCUCGCGCUCGUGCGUGUCCCUGCUGCUGCCGCUGCUCGCUCGUGCCUUUUCCUUCCGUUAGUUUACUGUCUAGCUAGCCGAAAUCACUCUGAAGCUGUGACCAAACGCGUGUGUUCUGAAUCUUCUGAACUGAAUGCUUGAAAGAUUGGUUUGUCCUUCUCAAAAGAUUUGCUUGCUUGUCACUGUUUGAAUUGGUUAUUCCUCAGUUAUAGUGUUUGAUGGAUUUGAUAACCUGUGAUAGCCUUACUCAUAUAGUACUAAUGAAAUCCAAUUGCAUACUGAAAUCUGCUUGGUUAUUCUUCUGUUAUAGUGGUACUAAUGAAAUCCAAUUGCUUACUCAUCUAUUAGCUUUGCAGUGGCAUACACAUGAAUAGAUAUCUCAACAUAUAUUUGAAGUGUAACCAGCCUUUCGCAGUUGGAUGUAUUCUGAACAUGUGAGUUUAUCUCCUGAACCCAUGGUUACUUACUGAACAUAAAGUAGCAAAACUGAAAGUAUAUAUAUUGUACUGUACUUUCAGUAAUAUAGAUGCCAAUAUCAUUACCUUUUUCAGUUAGGGGGUUGUAGGGAUUCACUUUGGUAUAAAUCUGAUUGAUAGUUACUGCUCUGGUCUGUAAUUUAGCCAGAGUCAGGUUCAGAGUUGUUGACUGGAUUUUUUGGGCACAACCAUCAAGCAACCUGAGUAAAGCUUACCUAAGCCAAUGAUUUUGUUCUUUUAGCUAGAGCCAGGUUCAGAGUUGUUCACUCUGGAUUUUUUGGGCACAACUAUCAAGCAAGCUAGCACGUAUUGUUUAACUGAAGCAAAGGGCAGCUAAGCUAUGAAUGCUUCAAUUCUUUGUUCUGAACAAAUGCAGCUACUAUUUGUAUUUGAUCUGAGCAAAGGUGCAACCAAUUGAAGUUAUUUUGAAGAACCUACACCUGGGUAUAUAUCUUCUGAUUUUAUAGCCUGCAGAGUCUGUAAAGUUUGUACAUUUUGUGAAUCACUUUGUUCCGGUUUCCCUUGGUGUAUAGUCUAUACUGUAUCAGGUUAUUUACUAUGUGCAGAUUUGUUUGUGCCAUUGCCAAUCAUGUACUUCUUUCUGUGCUUGGAAGCAUAGUCUCAUCGUAUCCCCUAGAUCUGUAUAAGUAUAUUUAGCUCACAUACACUUGGCAUUUGUUCUUCAAAAGGCGAUGUCCUCGAUGCUGGACUCUUGGUAACAGUUUAUUACAUGUUUUUUUGGUGAGUCUUUUCUUGAGAUUUAGGAUUGUGGAGUUAACGGGUGUUACUUUUGACCUGCUAAUACAGCUGCGUUAAACUUUUUGCUCUUCGAAAGCAACUAUGAAGAUGAGGUCUAUUCCAGCGCCUCCAAUUUCAGUCUCUCUGGUCUCAAGUGUGACUGAAGAUGGGUGGCAAUCUGCAAGUUUCAUGCUUUGGAAGGGUGAAUUCUUACUGAAAAACCAUAUGCAUCUUACCGACCAUAUUAAUUUAUUGCUAAGGUUUCCUCAUACCAGUGGUAAAUAUAGCACUGAAGAAACUUUUAAAUCAAACUUUACUUCAGUCUAUAAUGACACUACAAAUUAUUUCAGGCUGUUUAAAGAAUGUUGAGUUGUCAAGCGAGGUGCUGCAGUGGCUGGCGUUGCCGGGCAUGGGACGACGUCUCUAGGCUCCUGCCUGAGGCAAGCCUCUCCGGCCUCCUCGGAUGCCCUCUAGGAACUGGCACUGCGUAUGAUGGCCUCCUCACCUAGCACCUAGGUUGACCUAGCCACCGCCAUCGAAGCGAAGAGUUGACAACAUAUGUAUGAUUGUUGCACGUGUCAGUCCUGCCAUUGGCAUGUUCAAAACUAUGAAUUGAGUGACUACAAAUAUGCUUUGAUCAAUGAAAUGAGAGGAUGUUCUGUUA